This 253-nucleotide ribosomal RNA is filed under the name uncultured bacterium. Its description in RNAcentral is "partial 16S ribosomal RNA". It matches the Rfam family "Bacterial small subunit ribosomal RNA", at positions 524 to 776 of the family's 1533-position model. The record is from RNAcentral.
UACGUAGGGUGUGAGCGUUGUCCGGAAUUAUUGGGCGUAAAGAGCUCGUAGGCGGCUUGUUGCGUCGGAUGUGAAAGCCCGGGGCUUAACUCCGGGUCUGCAUUCGAUACGGGCAGGCUAGAGUUCGGUAGGGGAGAUCGGAAUUCCUGGUGUAGCGGUGAAAUGCGCAGAUAUCAGGAGGAACACCGGUGGCGAAGGCGGAUCUCUGGGCCGAUACUGACGCUGAGGAGCGAAAGCGUGGGGAGCGAACAGG